RNAcentral lists this ribosomal RNA (396 nucleotides) under uncultured bacterium. RNAcentral's name for it is "bacterial SSU rRNA". It matches the Rfam family "Bacterial small subunit ribosomal RNA", at positions 28 to 429 of the family's 1533-position model. The record is from RNAcentral.
GACGAACGCUGGCGGCGUGCUUAACACAUGCAAGUCGAGCGGUAAGGCCCUUUCGGGGGUACACGAGCGGCGAACGGGUGAGUAACACGUGGGUGACCUGCCCUCAGCUCUGGGAUAAGCCUGGGAAACUGGGUCUAAUACUGGAUAUGACUCCACGGUGCAUGUCGUGGGGUGGAAAGCCUUGUGCGGCUGAGGAUGGGCCCGCGGCCUAUCAGCUUGUUGGUGGGGUGANGGCCUACCAAGGCGACGACGGGUAGCCGGCCUGAGAGGGCGACCGGCCACACUGGGACUGAGACACGGCCCAGACUCCUACGGGAGGCGGCAGUGGGGAAUCUUGCGCAAUGGGCGAAAGCCUGACGCAGCGACGCCGCGUGAGGGAUGACGGCCUGGUGUAAC